This is a long non-coding RNA of Wasmannia auropunctata (little fire ant), 660 nucleotides long. RefSeq lists it as uncharacterized. The record is from RefSeq and is a predicted model, not a curated record. NCBI's taxonomy places the organism in Eukaryota, Metazoa, Arthropoda, Insecta, Hymenoptera, Formicidae. The transcript has 2 exons.
GCUCGCUUCAGAGGACAACGCAAGAUUUUGAUCUCAAUAAACGCGUUACCUUUUGACCAUAGGAAAUAACAUUUUCGUCAAGAUAACUUGCUGUUAUUUCAUUUGAAAAAGUGUGCUUUUGACAAUUAUUGUGUCAGUGUAGGAAAAUAAAAAAAUUUUUUUUUAGUGAUAUAUAUUUUUUCAAUAUGACAGCUUUUGAAAUUUUUGAUUAUUCUAUGCCGAAAGAAUUAAUUAAAAAGUUUCAUCUCACGCUUGUAACAGAUCAUUAAUUUCGUUAGGCGCAUUUGUAAAAUAACAUUAAUUGGCCUGGUGCUGACAAAGUAUCAAAUAAAACGCCGAGCACGUUUUCAAUUGAUAAUAAAGGUUGCAAAACAAUGGAACCUCGAAUAAAUUACAUCCGAUAGACCAGCGCUAGCGAAUUACACCGGAAGAGUAAACGACUACGCACCAUGAAUUUCUGUGACGUAUAAUUAACAGAACAUUAAUUAAUAAUUAUUAUAUACAAACAUGCAUAAUCCAACGCACGUUUCGACGUAUAAUUUACGAAUUGGCUGGUUUUGCAAGCAGGAUUUCGCAAGCAAAUUGUGCUUUCGUGUUUUCCCAUUGUUUUUUUCCCAUCCAUAUGCAUUUUAUGUGCAAAAUAAAUAAUAUUUUUCCAUU